CUAGCCUAACUGAAAUCACAAAAUCACAGAUAGGUGCUUAUUGUGAUAACGUAAGGGAAAAAUUGAUAUUACCUUACUAUAAGUGUUGUCUAAAUAACUGGUGCCAGAAGACUCGGUAACACCAGAAACGCGAACGUUAGUCGUCUUAAACAGGCGUAAAGGGUAAGUAGGCUGCUUUAAAGGGAUUUUUAAACUAAAAGCUAAUUAAUAAAUAUUGCUUAGUAAUAUCUAGUUAUAUCUACAAUAUUACAAUUGUUAUAUCUACGAUAUAAUAAGAAGUUGCUUCGCUAUAACAAUAAGUGAAUAAUCAUUUCAAUGAUAAUUAAACUUACUGCUUGCUUGUAAGUCGUAAGACUUUCCAGCCAGCUGCUAAAAGUAAAAACUUAAAAUAUUAAAUUAAAUAAAGAUAGAUAUACUUAAAGCUAGAAUCAUAAUUGAGAUAAACCAAAUAAUACUUAAGUGUAAGGGUAAAAUCUAAAAAUACUAAGUAGAAUACUAACGGUGAAAACUUUUUAUCUAGGAGUGAUUGACGCUGAGGUACGAAAGUGAGAACAGGGAAUAGGAUUAGAUACCCAGUUACCUCUCACCGUCAACGAUGAAUGGAAGUUGUUAGUAGUUAGUCUCGUUAGUCUUGCUAGUAAUAUCUUCGAUAUAACAAGUAAGACUAACUAAACUUCAAUUAAAACUAGUGACGUUGUUAACGCGAUACCAUUCCGCCUUGAGAGUACGGUUGCAAAACUGAAACCCAAAAAAAUUAGUCGGUCUCGCGAGCA
RNAcentral lists this ribosomal RNA (773 nucleotides) under Mallocybe gymnocarpa. RNAcentral's name for it is "16S ribosomal RNA". It matches the Rfam family "Bacterial small subunit ribosomal RNA", at positions 388 to 927 of the family's 1533-position model. Lineage: Eukaryota; Fungi; Basidiomycota; Agaricomycetes; Agaricales; Inocybaceae. The record is from RNAcentral.